GGGGAAUUAGCUGAGCUACCAAACUACAGCCCACAACAGACAGCGGUGGGCAGAUUGAGAACACCUGAUCUUCCCAAAUUGACACUAGGAUCACAGAUGGCAUCAAUGUCUGGGUCUUAUGAAACGAUUAGGACUGUUUCACACAAUUUGGUGUGCUUAUAGGAGCUGCAUUCUUCCAAAGUCCCCAGCAAUAAUUUACAGAGCCACUUGGACAAGCAUGCAAAGACAGAAGUGUUGGGACACACAGUGGUGAAAAAUUCAAGAACUGGAGACAACAGCAUGUCUGUCGAGACAAGGCAUUAUUUAUUAUCUGUUAAAUAAAU
RNAcentral lists this long non-coding RNA (323 nucleotides) under Heterocephalus glaber (naked mole-rat). RNAcentral describes it as "lncRNA (ENSHGLG00000044696.1)". The record is from RNAcentral. Lineage: Eukaryota; Metazoa; Chordata; Mammalia; Rodentia; Bathyergidae.